CUCCCACUGGGGCUUAUGGGCACAGCUUAGGGAUAGCAUACUGGCGCUGGCAGGGAACUGGGUCCUUGCUGCAGGCCAGUGGACACAUAGACACCAUUCCCGAUGUACUUACUCAAGGGUCCAGUGGUUUGGGGCAAUGAAGAUUGGAUAUCUGGCCAGACCCCACGCCUAUUCCCAGCGCCAGAGGCGGACAACCGCUUUACUGAGAUACAGAGACAGGUACUUCCUGAGGCACUUCAGUCCAGUUCCACUGGGUUUACUACAACUAAUAAUGACUGUUUCUGUUUACUAGGUAUUAGGCGAUGUGUUUUAAGUAAAUGAAUUGUCUCUAAUCCUCACAACUCUAAAGCAAGUUAGGCGUCACCCGCAUUUUACAAAUCAUAGCGCCCUGCUCACCAUAUCUGGAAUCUUGCCUCGCCCCGAGGGUUCUAAUUUUCACUUUAGAGAGCUGAGCAAGAUGAUUGCCCAGCGCUAACUCCGUGAAAUCCCUGGGACUGAAAAUCACAGGUAACUCGCCAGAGUUUUUCAAUUUUAGGCCUAGGAGAUUAUGCAAAGAUUUCCUUCAAGUAAACGCUGUUCUCUGGGGCCUCUGGGAUCUACAGUCGGAGAAGGGGAAUAAGUCCCGGGCCGGUGGGGGAUGGGUGGGUGCAGUUUCCUAAAUAGAGGAAAGCCACUUUCAUUCAAAGGGCUGUGGAACUCUGGCUAGAGGUGGGUUUCUUUGCAGUUAAUCAUCUGCAAGGCUCUUUGGAUGCCUGAUUCCAGAAACCCAGAACUCACACUUAGGGUCACAAAAUCCAGGGCAUUUAUUUGCCGAGCCCCAUGGAUGUUAUCCCUAUGGAUGCACCCCGCCCCUGUCCGUUCUCCUUUGGAGCAGAACGAAACCCAUUCCAGAGCUUUUGCAGGAAGUCUUCAGGCCCUUGCGUCCGGCCCCUUUAGACAUCAAAGCCCCCCCUGAGAGCAAAGGACUUUGAAAGAUAGGAAAAGCUCAGGAUCCUUAUCGCGUCUCUGCUCCCUCCCGACCUAGUCGUAAAUUCCGAGCCUCAGCGGCCGCCCUCUCUCUCCUCCGCUCUUCUUGACCCAAGGUCUCAAAAGACAAACGUGUCACUUCCCGCCCCGCCCCUGGAUCCUGGUCCCGACCGAAUGUAGUGGGGACCGAGAAGCGCAAGGUCCAGGACUUGUUAGAGGGGCGCGCCAAGGGCGCCCCUGUUCCGCCAGGACAUCACCGCCUGGGUACUCUACUUCACCCUCCCGCAGCCUUCUUUGGGGCCGGGCGGGGCGGGGCGGGGCAGGGGGGCCGGGCGCGGCCUACGCGCCCCCUCGAGUGCGCGGUGCGGGACGGGCGCGGUUGACGCGCUCCCGCCGGUGUCUGUGCUUCUCCGCAGGCCAGGAGGGCAUCCUGCGCUGCCACCCGGACCUGGCGGGCAGCGAGCUGCAGCGGGGCACGCUCACGGCCGAGUCGCAGCGGGAACAGAGCGGCGCAGGCCUGAGGAGCCUGGGCGCGGACGAGCGGCUGCGGCUGGCCGAGCUCAACGCGCAGUACCGCGCGCGCUUCGGUUUCCCCUUCGUGCUCGCCGCGCGCUUCAGCGACCGGACGGCGGUGCCGCGCGAGCUGGCGCGCCGGCUGCUCUGCCCGUCCGCGCAGGAGCUGCGCACUGCUCUGGGCGAGGUGAAGAAGAUCGGCAGCCUGCGCCUGGCCGACCUCCUCCGCGCAGACCCCGCCAAGCUGUAGCUGCCGCGCGGGCCAGGGACCCGGGACGCACAACCGGACGCGCGGGGGCCACGGCCCGGAGCUGUGCGUCCUGGGCGGGAGGCGGACUCGGGCCUGGAACAGCGUCCACACACGUGCACAAAGGAAGUGGAGAAUUGAGGCAAUCAUACGAGUAAUGAGUCCUUUUGUCCGCCCACCCACACGCGCACGCGUUGCCAAAAUAUCCAUAUUGUUUAGUGCUUUGCCCCGGAUUUAUCCAGCUCACUGCUUCAAUUCUUCACUCCCUUUGCGGCCCCCGACACCACCGGCCUUUGUGGAUUCCAAAGCGUUUAUCCAGUUCUCCCCAACCCUCUCCUGCUAAGCCCGAACUGCAAAGCAAAACGGACGGAAAAGGAAUCUUUUAUGCCACAG
RNAcentral lists this long non-coding RNA (2119 nucleotides) under Homo sapiens (human). RNAcentral's name for it is "HSALNT0372353". Lineage: Eukaryota; Metazoa; Chordata; Mammalia; Primates; Hominidae. The record is from RNAcentral.